Vicia villosa (hairy vetch) is the source of this 1926-nucleotide RNA transcript. It is a transcript of the gene named F-box/kelch-repeat protein At3g23880-like, with no coding region annotated. NCBI's taxonomy places the organism in Eukaryota, Viridiplantae, Streptophyta, Magnoliopsida, Fabales, Fabaceae. The record is from RefSeq and is a predicted model, not a curated record. The transcript is spliced from 3 exons.
GUAACAGUAAAGUUACCCAAGCCAUUCCCCAAUAGUAAAGGCAGCAAAUCCUCCUCCUAGGGUUUCAACUUCAAUACUGUCUAUUUCCAUUUCAAGAACAUCUGUGCGUUCCAACCGGCACAAACUCAAUCGCCGUUCAUGAAUUCCCCUCCAGCGAAGUCUCCGCAUUUAAACGGCGCUCCGACAUCACUGUUAUUUCUCCUUGAUGAACUCAUCUCAGAAAUUCUUUCGCGGCUUCCCGUCAAAACUCUCAUGCAAAUGAAAUGUGUUUGUAAGUCAUGGAAAACCCUAAUCUCCGAUCCCGCCUUUGCUAAAUUGCACCUUCAGCGAUCGCCAAAAAACACCCACUUCUUACUGACACCAGAAUGGUCUAUGCCUGACGAGGAUUGGGAUUGCUGCGUCGUACCCUUUACCGUAACUGAUUUGAUAGAGAGUCCAUUGCUCAUCACUAGCAACUAUCGAUUGAGGAGUAUCACUGUUUCCUAUGGUCCUCAGUCUCGCUACCGAUUGAGGAAUAUGGAUUGCUGGAAGAUAGUUGGUUCAUGUAAUGGAUUGCUCUGCUUGCUCGGUGGUUCUUGGGCUACCGAGAAUCAAAAAUUCUGGCUCCGUUUUUGGAACCCAGCCACGAGGACAUUAUCUGAAAAAUUAGGUUAUCUAACUGAAUUUUGGAGGUUGGCAUUUGGUUAUGAUGUUUCAGCCAACUCUUAUAAGGUGGUGGCUUUCUCUUCAACCAAGGUGAAAGUUUUUAGUUUGAGUGACAAUGUUUGGAAAAACAUUGACUGUUUUCCAACGGUUCCAUUCGGUUUUCAUCCUAGUAGUCCCGGCCGUUACCCAUUUAUGAAUAGUGGUGUUUAUAUAAGUAGUACUAUUAACUGGUUGGCUAUUCGAAAUAAGUCUCAAUAUGAUUGGAAUGAUAUUACCAUUGAGCAAUUUGUGAUUGUCUCGCUCAAUCUUGGCACGGAGACUUACCAGGAGUUGUUGCCACCUCGGGGUUUUGUUGAAGUACCACCUGUCGAGCCAUCUGUAAAUGUGUUGAUGGACUGUCUUUGUUUUUCUCACCGUGCCAAGGGAACUCAUUUUGUUAUAUGGAAGAUGAUGGAAUUUGGAGUUCGAGAGUCUUGGACUUUAUUCCUCAGCAUUAGUUUUCAAAGUCUUCAAAUUUACGAUGGCAUUGAUGAUUGGCUGGCAUAUGGUUCUCAAUUGUUUCUGUUUCCUUUGUAUUUUUCUGACAGUAACGACACACUGAUUAUUGCAAGCAAUCAAGAAGGUGAUGGUUUUUACAACCAACAGGCAAUUCUCUAUAAUUGGAGAUAUAAUAUAGUAGAGGAAAUUACUUCAAAGCACACCGAGAUAUUGUGGUUUUAUACCAAGGAUUAUGUUGAAAGCUUGGUUUCGACCUGUCCAAAUAUCUAGAAUCAUAACUGUCCUGUCACUUGUGGUACGGGCUUGUCAUCAGGCAUCAAGGACCACACCAUCAAUCAACUUCAAGCACAUAAGGCAUUAUUGAUGGUUGUUGGCUUGGUAGGAAGUAAGGAAAAAAGUAUUAUUGGAGCUAUAUUUUCUUCUGUUUUAGUGCUCAUUUGGUAUAAGAUGUUUAUGGCUCUAUUGGUUCCUCUUUUGGACUACUUUGUAAGUGUCGAUAGAAUUUACCGCCAAAUAUGUUGUUUUACAAUUGUACUCCUAUUUGUGUAAGAGAGCCAUUGGGAAGAAUUAUUGUUGCUGAAACAUCCAACUAUAUUUUCUGAUGAUAUCAACCAUUGUUUUGGCAACACAAUUUUUAUUAUGUACAUGUGAUCCUCCCUAGGCCAAACAAUACAUUAAACCACUAGCGUGAAUAAUAUCUGAAACUUCUCCGAAUAUUAUUUUGUAGUUAUCUUUGGAUUGUAUAAUAAUCUGCCCAAAAGUACAUUUUUAAAUAUUUUUCUC